UUGGAAUACAGGGUCCAUGUUUAUUUCUAGAUAUCUUCUGUUGUCUGUCCUUUACUUCAUGCCAAUGGUUCAUAUAACUGCUGAGAGCUGAGCUCCAAUGCUCAUGUUUGUUUAACAGUAUUAAAUAGUAUACUGACUUUCUUGUCACUCAGUGCUUUCACACUGCAUUGAUUUCACUCCAACAAACUUGUCCUGGUAUUAGAAAAAGGAAUUUAUCAAUGGCAUUCUAGGAUGAUCCAUUUUUCACACACAUUUAUGUCUAAACUUACAGGUGAUAAAUACUUUUAUUCCAGUUGUGGGGAACCAAAAGACAAUAAUUCCAAGAGUAAUUGAUCUGGAAAGAAAAAGGAUGCAUACUUUUUAAAUAUUUCAUCAUACCGGCCUGUGCAAAGUGGAAGAGUAGAAACAAAGUGGACUGAGAUGUACUGAUACAGAAUGAGGCUCUUGAGAAACAAAUGUGAUGAAUUGUGAGAACAGCUGUCAGAGCCCUUUUGGGAAGGAAGUACUUUUCCAAGUCAUCUCUGAGAACCCAAAGGACAUGAAGAAACCCUUUACUUUUAUGGCCUUCCAUUGUAUUUACUGCUUUGUUCCUUUAUUCAAGACCUGUAGUUCUGUUUGUGGGACUGGACUAUGAGGCACACACCAAACCUAGAGACAAAACAUUCCUGUGACAUUCAAGACCUUCAGUAGCUGCAUCUCCCUGUGAGGAGGUGGUCACAGCUGACAACUCGGAGCACCCGCACCAUCAGUACCUGGGCUGGAACACGAGUGGUUCGCAGGGCACUCGAGUGGGACAUGCCUGUGUGUUUCCAGUGACAUGGAUCAUGGAUAAGGACAGCCAAGGGCAAAUCACCUGCCUUACUGCACCAAAGAGGCAGAAGUUAAUGCUGGAGGGGUCUGAGUGUCAGCAGUAAUGUAAAUGCAGUCUGAGUGUUAACAGUACUGUAAAUUUACCUUCUGCUGUAACUCUAUGCACUUCUCCUGGGCUAGCUCUGCUCCUCUUCGAUUCUCCAUCUGUCUCGAUUGUCUUUGUUUUCUUUACUCACAAGGCCACACCACCUGAGAUGCUCACAGGAAACUCGCUGUAAUGAAGAAAUGCAGAUAGUUAAUAAAUGUAAUUUAAAGCAAA
Long non-coding RNA from Haemorhous mexicanus (house finch), 1129 nucleotides. RefSeq lists it as uncharacterized. The record is from RefSeq and is a predicted model, not a curated record. The transcript has 2 exons. NCBI's taxonomy places the organism in Eukaryota, Metazoa, Chordata, Aves, Passeriformes, Fringillidae.